Caenorhabditis elegans is the source of this 147-nucleotide non-coding RNA. Lineage: Eukaryota; Metazoa; Nematoda; Chromadorea; Rhabditida; Rhabditidae. The record is from Ensembl.
GGACUCAAGUCAAAAAGAUUGCGCGAAGCGAUAGAGACCUUCCUCUUCUUUUUUUGGUGGUAGUAGUUUGUUUCGGGACGAAGACGAGAAACGGCGUCCCGUCCCAUAAACCUCUAUUAUAUUCCAACAGGAAGAUGAAAAGGGUGU